RNAcentral lists this ribosomal RNA (454 nucleotides) under uncultured bacterium. RNAcentral's name for it is "partial 16S ribosomal RNA". It matches the Rfam family "Bacterial small subunit ribosomal RNA", at positions 28 to 507 of the family's 1533-position model. The record is from RNAcentral.
GAUGAACGCUGACAGAAUGCUUAACACAUGCAAGUCAACUUGAACUUCGGUUUGGGUGGCGGACGGGUGAGUAACGCGUAAAGAACUUGCCUCACAGCUAGGGACAACAUUUGGAAACGAAUGCUAAUACCUGAUAUUAUGAUUUUAGGGCAUCCUAGAAUUAUGAAAGCUAUAUGCGCUGUGAGAGAGCUUUGCGUCCCAUUAGCUAGUUGGAGAGGUAACGGCUCACCAAGGCGAUGAUGGGUAGCCGGCCUGAGAGGGUGAACGGCCACAAGGGGACUGAGACACGGCCCUUACUCCUACGGGAGGCAGCAGUGGGGAAUAUUGGACAAUGGACCAAGAGUCUGAUCCAGCAAUUCUGUGUGCACGAUGAAGUUUUUCGGAAUGUAAAGUGCUUUCAGUUGGGAAGAAAAAAAUGGCGGUACCAACAGAAGAAGUGACGGCUAAAUACGUG